GCAUAUCAAUAAGCGGAGGAAAAGAAACUAACAAGGAUUCCCCUAGUAACGGCGAGUGAAGAGGGAAGAGCCCAAGAUUGAAAGCUGGCGUCUUCGGCGUCCGCAUUGUAAUCUCAAGAAGUGUUUUCCGCUUCGGACCAUGCCUAAGUCCCUUGGAAAAGGGCAUCAUAGAGGGUGAUAAUCCCGUACAUGGCAUGGAGCGCCCGAAGCUUUGUGAUACGCUUUCUAAGAGUCGAGUUGUUUGGGAAUGCAGCUCAAAAUGGGUGGUAAAUGCCAUCUAAGGCUAAAUAUUGGGGAGAGACCGAUAGCGAACAAGUACAGUGAUGGAAAGAUGAAAAGAACUUUGAAAAGAGAGUUAAACAGUACGUGAAAUUGCCAAAAGGGAAGGGUAGGAGGUCAGAGAUGCGGCCUAGGAUUCAGCCUUGCUUUUGCUUGGUGUUUUUCCUAGGUUGCAGGCCAACGUCGGUUUUGGGCACUGGAGAAGGGUGGAAGGAAUGUGGCACCUCUCGGGGUGUGUUAUAGCCUUCUACUGGAUACAGCGACCGAGACCGAGGACAGCAGCGUACUCGCAAGAGCGGGCCUUCGGGCACCUUUACGCUUAGGGCGUUGGCAUAAUGGCCCUCUACCACCCGUCUUGAAACACGGACCAAGGAGUCUAACAUGUAUGCGAGUCUUUGGGUGGCAAACCCAUAGGCGCAAUGAAAGUGAAUUCAGGUGGGAUCCGCAAGGUGCACCAUCGACCGAUCCUCACGUCUUUUUAAGUCGUGGAUUUGAGUAAGAGCAUACCUGUUGGGACCCGAAAGAUGGUGAACUAUGCCUGAAUAGGGUGAAGCCAGAGGAAACUCUGGUGGAGGCUCGUAGCGGUUCUGACGUGCAAAUCGAUCGUCAAAUUUGGGUAUAGGGGCGAAAGACUAAUCGAACCAUCUAGUAGCUGGUUCCUGCGA
This 944-nucleotide ribosomal RNA is filed under the name Ustilago filiformis. RNAcentral's name for it is "LSU rRNA". It matches the Rfam family "Eukaryotic large subunit ribosomal RNA", at positions 38 to 963 of the family's 3401-position model. Lineage: Eukaryota; Fungi; Basidiomycota; Ustilaginomycetes; Ustilaginales; Ustilaginaceae. The record is from RNAcentral.